GCCGGCUGCCGGGCACGGCAGUGGGAGCCCAACGCAGCCGGGAGCCGCCCGCCCGCCCGGUCGUUCGUUCCUUCUUCGUUCGUUCUCCCGCCGCCAGCUCGGUCUGUCCCCGGGGGAGCCGCCGCGGAGAACCGUGCUUGCGGCCGCCGGCAAGAGUGAACGUGACCAUGGUGAUGGGCAGUGCUUUC
Molecule: long non-coding RNA, 188 nt
Filed under: Aquila chrysaetos chrysaetos
Lineage: Eukaryota; Metazoa; Chordata; Aves; Accipitriformes; Accipitridae
Description: lncRNA (ENSACCG00020004707.1)
Source: RNAcentral